UACGUAGGGGGCCAGCGUUGUCCGGAUUCAUUGGGCGUAAAGGGUGCGUAGGCGGUCGUGCAAGUCGGAUGUGAAAUCUCAGGGCUCAACCCUGAAACUGCAUUCGAUACUGCGUGGCUAGAGUGCUGGAGAGGAGACUGGAAUUUACGGUGUAGCAGUGAAAUGCGUAGAUAUCGUAAGGAAGACCAGUGGCGAAGGCGAGUCUCUGGACAGCAACUGACGCUGAGGCACGAAGGCCAGGGGAGCAAACGGG
This 253-nucleotide ribosomal RNA is filed under the name uncultured bacterium. Its description in RNAcentral is "partial 16S ribosomal RNA". It matches the Rfam family "Bacterial small subunit ribosomal RNA", at positions 524 to 776 of the family's 1533-position model. The record is from RNAcentral.